AUGCCAGCACAGCCCCCUCCCCACCCUUCCAAAUUAUCCCUCCCAGCACAGAGCUGCUGCAACAUCCACAGCCCCAAGAGCCGGGCAGGUGCAUCCCGAGCAGCUCCUGGCUGCAGGAUGUGGGCAUGCAGAGGGAAAGGGAUGUUCCUUCCCCUUGCUGUGCUGAGUUGGGUUAACCCUGCCCCUUCCAGUCCCCACACAGCACUAGCUCUGUACCUCAGCACGGGAGGAUACUCAGACCAGAGACAAUGGGAUGGCAACAAGGACCACAGACCAGUGAUGGGGAGCAGAAAAAACCUCUGCAGCCAAGCAUGGUCUUUGCCAUCUAAAACCCCCUCAAAUCCCAUAAGGCUCCUCCAGGCUCAGCUGGGGCCAUCACAUCAUCCCACACCCCCACCUCCGGUUUUCCUGUCCAGUACCUUGCAGGUGUGGGCUCUCCGGCAGUGCUCGAGGCUGUGUGCCAGGGCUGGCUGUGCCCAUAGAGGAAGGUCUGGAACAGGCUCAGGGCCCAUUUUGGGGGUGGCCACACGGGACAGUCACUGCUGUUGCCUUCCAGGAAGGCAAUGGGUCUGCCCCAGCGGUUCAGGGAACAGCCCUUCCCUCCUGGCACCUCCCCGAGAAAACCCAUUCCUGGAAAGGAGCCCAGAGCUGGCUCUGCCUUCCCUGCAGCUCCGUGAGCACAGGGAGGGUGUACCUUUGUGUGGGGGAACAUCUUUCAGUUCAACCCCAUGCAAAGGGGAGACCCUCUUUGCUCACCCUACGGCAGAGGGGAGAACCAGGGACUUCCAAUCCAUUUUUCUGCCAUGCCUCUCCAUUGAUCUACUCUCCCAGUUAGAGGGAAUCCCUUUUCAUCCAUCCUCCUCCCACUCUGUGCUCCGGUGGGAACUCCUUGCUCCCUUACCCUUCUUUGUACAGGAUGGUCUUAGCCCUUCUCCCACCCCCAGUCACAUAGGCAGGGAGGAGGCCAUCAAACAUUUCCCCUCCCUGGGCCCCAGUCUCCUACCCCUCCAGAGCCUGCAGCGCCGACUCACUCACAUCACCUUAGAGGGGUGGCUGGGUGAAGUCUUCCUUCCCCACAGCCUCAUCCCACACAGUGUUCUGAAACUGCCCGCCCAGGGGAAGCUCCAUCCUGCCCUCCUCCUCCUCCCCAGUCCCUGCACGCUGCAGGGUCCCAGCCCCAUGGGAACAUCCCCACUGCCUGCCAGGGUGUGCUGCCAGCUGCCUCUCCACCCUGCCAAGGAACGCCUGAUUUCUCCUGAACAGGGAUCUGGGGAACAACCAAGAAAAUGA
Molecule: long non-coding RNA, 1290 nt
Filed under: Parus major (Great Tit)
Lineage: Eukaryota; Metazoa; Chordata; Aves; Passeriformes; Paridae
Description: lncRNA (ENSPMJG00000019582.1)
Source: RNAcentral